AAGAAGAUGAAUUCUGGUCGGAUCCGUUCUCGCGCAGAAAACAGAUCCAAAAGGUGAUGCACUAAUCGGAAUUGCUCAUCACAACAAAGUUCAAGUAAACUGCAAAUUUGCAGUAGAGCAAAACCCUGACAUUUCACUAUUUUGAUCACACUAUUGGGAUCACAAAUUUAGUGAAUUUAGUAACUGGAUAUUUAUCACCCCACUUUUCAGCAUAUAGUUUCAUGUUUAUUUUACUUCAGAGAGACCAACACACGAUGGGGAAAAGUAGGGACAGGGAGGAAGGUAGAAAGGCAGCAUAAACAUCUCAUCUUUCACGGCUGGUUAUGGGCCGAGACCAAAAGGCAGUUGUUUCUCAAUUUGACUAAAAAUGGUCUGCCACAACCAAAAACAAACAAAUUGGCCUGCUACAGAGACAUUAGUUAGUAAGCAAACAAUGUCAAUACUAUUAUUAGUCUGCAAUUACAUCAGUCUACAAAUUCACUUAAUAAAUAAUGCUUAUACCGUCAGCCAACCACAAAUGCAAGGAAUUCAAAUAAACAGUGAUAUGAGCUUGAUGAAAAACAGAUUUAUAACAACCAAACUAAUAAAUCAUGGCAGACAAAAAAUAAAACGGUGUUACUGGCUUAUAUAAAAUCAUGCCAAGACAUGUAACACUUCUCAUGUAAGCCACCACAUGAGUCGCUGGUACUAAUAUCAUGCCAACACAUGCCCGAAAGAGAAAUAUGGAAUGGCUAAACUCUCUUCAAAGAUGUCUCAUUAAGGUUUAUAUAACUGCAGCCGAUUUGAGAGAAAUCAAUAUAAAUCAACAGCUAGCAGCUAGCCAUACAUAGUAUUGUGCAGGAAGACAUUUCUUCUAAAAGAACACUGCAAAUAUUUGAUUGCUUGGGGAAUAACUUUAGGAGCACUGGGAUUACAUCCUAGCCAAAUUGAAUACAACUCUAUAUUGAAAAAAAAGCAUGUAUAUGUGGGGUGAUUAAACUUUAAUUGGAUAGGGUUGAUCAUAUUUGUGCCUUUCUGAAGAAAUAGAAACUAAGCCAUCAACACAAUCACGGGAUCAAAUAAUAAAUGACCUAAACCAAGAUUGAUAUGCAGAAAGACACAACCGAGUCGCAUAAUUGACUUGUUUCUAUUAUUAAUUGUUUUUUAUUGCAACACUAAAUAUGUGGUUGUAACUACAUAGUUAUAACCUAACUUACAUGACAAAAAUAGAACACGGAUCUAUGAUUCUCCAAGGAGUAAUUAGUUUCCCUAAAAAAAACAAUAAUUCAUAGUCCAAUAGUAGCUGAACUGAUAGGGAGCCAUUCUUUCCUAGCGAUAUAUGGAUCAAUCAAUAGCCCUGUUCAAGAAUUCAUCCGAUUAACCACUUAACUUGCCAAUUAACCCCUACUCGUAGGGUCACCGAGUAGCCGAUUAACUGAUUAAUCACCCGAGUAAUUGAUUAAAUGGCCGAUUAACUUGCCGAUUAGCCUAUUAAUCCCCUACUCGUCAGCCAACCGAGCAGCUACAAGUUAACGAUUUCCUCAACAAUGAUCAAUAGAGAGAGGGGUGUCAGGGACUCACUGUUUGAGGAUGUAAGCGGGUAAAAGGGGUGACCUUGCCUCAGCAGGGCUCAGUCGCACCCAGAAUAACAUUUUGUCAGUUUUAUUAGUAAUACUAAUAUUUGGUUAAUGGGGCACCAAAGGAAUCUCCUAUAUGAUUUAGUGAUUAAAGAAUAAUAUUAAACAAUGAAUCUCCCAUUGGUUCACAAAGUAUGCAAUUUUUCUCUCAACUGAAAUGACAACCACAUUUUGUCAGCGAUAUUUGGUUAAUGGAGCACCAACAAAUCUCCUAGAGUAUUUCAUUUGGAGGUUAAAGGGAAUAAGAAUAAAGGAUGUAAAAUAACCAGUGACACCUUAGCUCUCACUACACACUUGGCAAACAAAUACAUUAGGUGACUACUGAUUAUCUGUAGCUAAAUCUUAUCUGAAGUACAACCAAGAUGAACAGAAACAUUUCACCUCACUUUUGGUGGAAAAAUACUCUUCUCUGAUUGAUCAUUCAGUUACACAGUGAUCCGCUUAACACAUCGCAGGUUGAUCUGCAAUCACAUAAGCAAGCAUUUGCAUUAGAACAAAAGGAAGAAUGAAAUGUUUGAUCUUUCAUAUGGUACUAUUGAUCCUAGAGCAACGCUAAAUAGGAGAUUAGUAACACACAUCACUCUCCCGGCAAGAAGCAGCUCUCCCGGCAGUAACACGCAUCACUCUCUCGGCAGAAGGUGACUCUUCUUCAGAUUGUUGACCAUAUUCAUUAUUCACAAUAACGAAGUACAACUCCAAAUCAGAAAGGUCGUCGAUAAUGCUGAGCAUGGAAAGGUUUCUGUAGUUACCAUUAAUGUAAUCAAUGAGUACCAACUAUUGCUUGAUGCAUAUAUAAACAAUCAGAAGGUUGUCUACCUAGAUUUCUUCCUACCCAACUUUCCUUUAUCAGCAAGGAGGAACUGUUUUUUUCAUAUAUAAACAAUAAGCAGGUGACCUAAUGGACUAUGCAACCCAUAGAUUAAUUAUGCAAGAAGUUACCAUUCCUAUAAUUAGCAAGCAUCAAUCAUUGUUUGGUGCAUCUACAAACAAUGAGGAGGCGGUCUAAUUCUGGAGCACAUAGAUUAAUUAUCUGUGUAGUCAGACUUCCUCUGUUAGGAAGCAGCAACUACUACCCGCCGCACAUAUUUCUCCCAAAUCACUAACCUGAACAGGUAUUACAGUACACUGAAAAUUGGGCACACCCUACAGACAUGGAUAUGAACCAAAAUGCAUAUAUCUCUCCCAAAGCACUAAACAGGAAGCAAACCACCAGGGAAACCAUAAGUACAUAUGGCCAGCCAUAUCUUAUGAAGGUAUCCUAUGCUACAAAGACACAAUACCCAAAAAGACAUUUGGAUUGCAGUGCAGCCUCACAAUUGAAGCCGAAAACAUCAAAGAUUAAGCAUGUCAAGAGUGCACAUUUUUAUCGGAUAGAAUCUCACUUGAAGGCGUGACAACAUGUUUCCUUGCACAACAUAGGUCAAUCCACAACCAAAAUGAACCAAAUGUUCACAAUAUCCUUUCUUGUAUGCAUCAAGCAGAAUUCAAAAUCUCAUGGAGGUUCUGUACCAUUUGCCUUUGGCCACCACCUGGACAGUACACAACCAAAUUUAGCUGAAGUUUAUAAUAAACAUGCAUGCAACGAUAGCAGCCUAUAUUAAUUUUAUACCUGGCUUACAGGAAACCAGAAGCUAUGUACUGGCAAUUAACCAGAAAAGGAGGAGAAAUUCAGAAAAAUCUAGUAUGUAACCUAGUUUAACAAUGCUUAUAUCCCCAAUCCAAGCUCUACAUAUUUCAGCUCACUAAUGCUUACAAAAAAUAAAAAAUAGUACCCUCAUUUUGGAACUUGAAUCUGCAAACAUGGUGUCUAACUAAAAAUCAGAGUCAUGGUUAAGAUAAAGGAGCACCUCUGGAACGAGAGCGGUGGCUAAAAGCAUCAGACCACCAAAACAUCCCAUAGCACACAGUCCAACAGCGAACCAUCUCCUGAACCUAAUUAAGUAAUGUAUAUAUGAAUCUAAACUACAUGACAUAAGCUGAAGAACAACACGAGCAUGCAGAUCCAACUCUGUGAAUUUGCAAACAAAAGGCCCAAAAAAUUCACCUCCAGAUGAGGUCUCCGAGAAGCAUAAAGUCGCCAUCCUUGUCUCCGUUCCGCUCACCGCCACGAGACUCAUCUCCUCGUACCCACCCUGCAUCCAAGAGCCAAAUCGUCAGAAACCCACCAGAAGAACAACACAUAACAUGCUCGUCUCUGCUGCUAUUGAGUACAUGAACAGGAUAUGUUCUUGGCUGCAAACUAUUAACUUUUUAGGAAUUUUAAGCAACAUUAUAGAAGCUGAAAUACAACCAGAUCUAUUUUAACAAUAGGUUUAUGAGAUUAUGGUGUGCCUUUUCUUAUCUAUCUGUCACAAUAUAUUAUAUAAUGGGUACAUGCUAUCUGGAACAUGAAAGACAAGGGAAAAUUAAAAGGGUCAACUGUUAUACAAUACAUAUGUACCCAGAGCCAUUAACUUAAAAGGGUCAAUAUAUUUUCUACACUAUGCUUUGUGAAAUUAACUCUUUUAUGUACCUCCCUCACAAACAUUCACGGUUACCAAAUCUAGAUGAUUUUUAUUUGAACUUUUAGAACUGAAUACCAAGAGCAUACAUGCCUCUUACUUUGCAACCUUAGCCAAACAUAGUGGAGAGAAUACGAGGAGUGCUGUAUAGGAAAAAAAUUAAGUUAAUAGCUGUCCCUGCAGUUUCCAUCAGAUUAACAUUAAAACUCAUCAAAAAGUAAGGAAUAGCGAGCCAAAUGUGAAUUGUAUUACAACACAAGGUUUUAAAUUGUGCGGUCCGAUAAAAAUGAAGUUAAAUGAUGUGUGCCCUAUGGUAUGCAGACUGUUUCAUCCUUAGAAAUUGUAAUGCAAAAUCAGGCUGUCUGCUAGCAUAAAGGUGGCUUUUAAAUAUUAGAAUGCCACUUCAAAGUUGAAGUAAGUAUGAACCCACAGAAAAUCACCACUACCCAACCAUAAACAGAGAGGAAGUAAUAUGAGCUGAGAUCUUCGAUGGCAUAAAAAAAUUUAGAGCAUAUUUGACAUAUCAUUUUGAAGUUAAAAAUAGCAAAUAAGCUACAGCCAAGAAAGAACACAUUAAGUAGCUAGAGAGUAUACACUACUUUCUAAUAGGAAAGAAGGUAAUUUACCCGGCAAGGUAUUGUCACUGAUUCCAACAUGAAAGAACAAAGAAACCUGGGAUAAUCCCAACCACAUCUGUCCAUACAAAAAACACAAGUCAAUACACCAAAGGCAUGCCCAAUACAAAAGGAGCAACACGAUAGGCAUCAUAAAAAGUACCUGUGAAACGCUCAGGCGUGUUUGUAGGCCUUGGGAGCUGAUUAAUUGGAGUCAGGACAUAGGUGCAGAAAGGAAAUUCUGCUUCUAGACCCUCCCAUCACGCAACAGUUGUAUACCUAGUGAACUUAAUCAUGUAUUGACUCUCCACCAGCCCGAAGACAUACUUCUUGAGAAAGACCAGAAACUUGCGACAGAUCAUCAACCCACACUCUUGGGGGACACAUAUAAAUUGGUUAACAAAUUUCUCAGGCAUCUCUGCAUACAUAUGGUUACCCUGCGAGGAAAAGAGUAUGGUUCAACACAGGAGAAAUAACAGACCAUUAAAUAACAGGACAAGAAAGACAGGAAACCAGAUCAAAGAAUACAUGUACCUGCAUCUAGUAUAACCACAUCCAUCUCCUUGAUAGGUCCAUUUUCGGUUCCACCAUGGUGAUGCCACAGACGUGAUAUGCACACACAGGGUAUGCUAGAGCGAGUUACACGGACGCACUUCAGACAGUGCAUUGAAUGUUAUCUACAACAAAUAGAAAAUGCAAAAAAAUGCAAAGACUAAUCAGAGCAGGCCAUGGUCUAGCAAUCAUGAUAAGCACAUAACAUAUUGUACAGACCCAAAUAUAAUCAAAGGCAGCAUGCCAACACACACAUCAAAGAAAGACACACCACAUGUAAUCGCGACAAUAAAGGUAAAUAGUGAUCCUACCUCCUAAGUAGGAUCAAUUAGUUCAUCACAUCAUUAUACCAAGAGCACACACACACUGGCAAAUCAUCUAAAAGGCUGAUCCAACAAAAGAGGGUACACAGUGCAGAAGAACGAGGCCAGCAAAAGAGGGUCCUUGCACAAUAAAUAGCAAUAGAACCGACCAACAAUCCUGGAAAUAAGAGUAAGUACUAAAUUUGCAGGCAAUGAAAUAGUCACAUUUGUAACGAUUGUCCAUAGAUUUGUCUUAAUUGAUCAUAAUCCAUUGCACUCCUGACACUAAACAAAUUCGUAACCGCUCUUUUCCGAGAUAUGAUGUUGUGAAUAUAAUUAACCUUCAUAAGAAAGAAAUAAUUUCUAGCCUAAAAAUAGCUCACGGCCAACACUGUCCAUCACCACUGUUAACCUUCAAGAAUAACAGGACAAUAUAAUUAAUCCUUGAGGCAAAGAACGAAAUCAGAGACUAACCCAGACCAACAAUUAAUCUUAAUUAUACUAACCAGCCAUGCAAUCAAUCCUUAAGCUAAAGAACUAAAUCAGAGACCAACCCAGGCCAACAAUCAACCCUCAAGCCAAACACUCGAACCAAGAAAUUUGGGACACAUUUUAGCCUUACAUAAUUCAGCGUGCAGUGAAUCCUAAAGACAAAGAACCAAAUCAGAGACUAACCCAGUGCUCUUUUUCUAAUCAACCAUGUGACCUAUCCAUUCCUGUGAUUACAUUGCUAAGCAAGGACCAAAUUAAUCUAGCACUUGAGGACAAUACUCUAAUACAAACAACUGCACCCACAACAGGCAUAGACCACCCAUGUUCUUAACCAACCAUGCAACCUCACUGACCGCCAAGGCAAACAAUUAAGAAAGGACCAAUGAAAACAAAUCAACAAUGACACCAUCUAAGAAUCCAACAACAGAAGCCCACGAAUAACCUGUUCCCCACCUCUCUUUUGCAAGGCCUAAUCGAUUACAGACAAAUCCAGCCCCUGAAAAUAGUACAUUGAUUCCAAGAACGUCAGAACCACACCUACAGCAACACAGAUUGUCUUAUAUUUUCCCAACCAACUUGUCAGAUGUCCAACCCCGAAGAUAAACGGACAAGGAAGAGCUUGGGUUAACCAAUCCAUUCAGGCAGACAAUUUCCAAGAACAGAGCCCAUGCACAAUCCAUCUCAUCACCUUCACCUAACAAGCUCCAAUCAAGCACCUAAGAAUGGCUCCUAAACCCACUGAACAGCAACCACGAAAGGUACAAUCCGUUAAAUUAACCAGGCAUGUGAUUCAUGCAACUAAUCCUUAAGAAAAAGAACUAAAGCAGGUACUAACCCGAAUGGCAACAAAUCUGCGUCAUAUUCUAACCUAAUGUAAUCCAACAAUUAAUCAUCAAGAGAAACACCUAAAUCUGGGACUAACCCCGAAUGGCAACAAAUCUGCGUCAUAUUGUAACAUAAUGUAAUCCAACAAUUAAUCAUCAAGAGAAACACCUAAAUCUGGGACUAACCCAAACCAAUAGUCAGACCAGUGAAAUAUCUUAAACCAACAGAAUCCAACUACGACCCAAGCAGAUCCCCUAAUUUCACAAAAGGAAACAGACCAUAUCCAGGCUCGAAUAGCUAAUGCAUCCAAAAAAAUUGCCGCAUCCGACCAGCCAACACGUCCAAAAAACUAUUGGAGUCCCACAUAAGCACCAGACAAGAGUGGAAAGGAGGAGAAAAGGGGUUGACUUGCAGAACUAAUUCACCCCCUGUCGCUGCCAUCAUUGGUGAUGGCCGCUGCUGUCGUCCGAGGCUAGGGUUCGCUGCUGGACGCGUGCGUGCAC
RNAcentral lists this long non-coding RNA (7405 nucleotides) under Triticum aestivum (bread wheat). RNAcentral's name for it is "long non-coding RNA (TAES_LNC003645)". The record is from RNAcentral. Lineage: Eukaryota; Viridiplantae; Streptophyta; Magnoliopsida; Poales; Poaceae.